Podarcis raffonei (Aeolian wall lizard) is the source of this 2751-nucleotide long non-coding RNA. RefSeq lists it as uncharacterized. The record is from RefSeq and is a predicted model, not a curated record. Lineage: Eukaryota; Metazoa; Chordata; Lepidosauria; Squamata; Lacertidae. The transcript has 10 exons.
UCAGACAAGACAGAGAAGUUACAGUACAAAAACAUAAACCAUAAAGAUCAGGUGCUACAAACAUCUGAGGUUCUGCUGCUGUAGAAAAGUAACUGUAUCCCAUCACUUCUGUCCUAAAAACACCAAUGUUACAUUGUUCUGUUGCAACUCCUUUUCAUGGAAUGUACACAAUUUAUUGGUGUGAGCAAAGUGUCUCUUUGUUCAGUCGACUUUCAACAUAAUCCAUUUGCUCUGGGGGAUAGCAGAAGAAGCAAGAAACUGAAAAUACGACUCAGAUUUCAGGAUGUGGCAAUGUAUCCAUUUGGCCCUUACUGCAAGAUAUGGCACCCACCUAAUAGCCACAAUCCCCAGCAAAAUCCUCUUUACACAAUAUGGCAUGUGUUUUUACUGUCAAGACUUAGAAUGGAAGAAAUAGCCAGAGGUAAGAAGAUGACAACAAGGAAUGUGUUGAUGUUGCGACAAAAUGCAUUCCACACCUGGUGCUCAUGCUAUUGCUUUUUAGGCGGAUGUAGUGAAGAUCUUUUUGUUCUCCAAAGCCUCAUAAUUUUCAUUAUAGUGGUAGAUCACUUUUACUGUUUUUAGAACGUUGCACUAAGUUAUUCCCCUUACUGGGUUUAUGUUGGUUUUAAAUUGUUUUUAGCUGUUGUGCUUGCAUUGGUUUUAGCUGAUUUGAUUUAUUUGUAUUCUGUUUCAUUUGAUUUUAUCAUUUAAAUUCUGCAUUGUAUUUUGCAUUUUUAAUGGUCUGCAAACUUCCCAGAGAACUCAGUUAUAGGUAUGGUAUCUUACUGUAGCAAAUAAAUAAAUCCUAAAUGGCUUCAGUCCUGUAUACCUGAAGGAGCAUCUCCAUCCCCAGACACUGAGAUCCAGUGCUGAGGGCCUUUUGGUGGUUCCCUCAUUGUGAUGUUACAGGGAACCAGGCAGAGCAGCUUCUCAGUAGUGGUGCCCACCCUCCCAUCAGAUGUCAAGGAAAUAAACAACUAUGUUUAGAAGACAUCUGAAGGCAGCCCUGUCUAGAGAAGUUUUUAAUGUUUGAUGCUUUACUGUGCUUGAUGUUUUAAUCUAUUGGAAGCCGCCCAGAAUGGCUGGCACAACUCAGUCAGGUGGGCAGCUUAUAAAUAAUAUAUUAUUUUUGUGAGAGUCAUAGUUAAGAACAGUUGUGAAAUAGAACACCAUGUUCAAAAUAAAUUGAAUUUUAUUCUCUGAGCAUCUGGGAUGGUCUAGAUAAAGAGCCCUAGCAAGCAUGGCCAAUAGCCAGAAAUGAUGGGCGCUAUAGUUCAAGAACAUCCGGAGGGCCAAAGAUUCCCCACAUUUGGCCUAGAUCUAGAAAACGUCUCAACUCUCACACCUUUCUACAUAAUUCUUCUGAAUUAUUUUCUUUCCCUUUCUCUCUCUCUCUGGUUAGAGAGUCACCAGAGGAAUGCUCAUGAUUAGGUCUUGCAGAACCACUUGGAAAGGACAGCACUACACUGUAGAUCUGAAUAAUUUCAUUCACAGCCGUAAGGAGUCACAAGAAGUGUAUCCCAUUCAAGUUCGGCCAGUUUAUCGCCCCCUCAAUCAAAUGGUGCAAUUCCUAAAAAACAGCAGCAUGACAGAGCAGAGUUGAGAUGAACAUUGUCGCCGCACCAUACCAUCUGCUAUUUACUCCACACAUGGGGAUAAGAAUAUUAGCCUGCUGUGAGAAUUACUGAUAAAAUGAAUGUGAAGUGCUUUGAGCAUUCAGGAAAUGAGGUUUGGCUAUUAUAAUUAAAAAUACUCAACAAAGGAUCAUCACAGAUAUACUGAAAGAAACAUAAGGAAAAUAAUGAGGGAGAGAAAGAGAGACUUCAUGGACCAGAAUGGUGCAUGCUGGUAAGGAAUCUUUUCUCUUGGCAGAAAUCCAAGGAUCAAAAUGUAGGCUUCAGCAGCUGUGCCUCUUGGAAAACCAGCGACUGUGGAGAAUAAAACACUUCAUCAUCAACUUCUUCUGGCUUUCUGGGACCUGAUUUGAGGUGUUGCAUCUUUCCACAGCAUCUCACAAAGCCUGGCUGGAUGCCAUCUUCAUGGAGUAUCCAGAGGCCCUGCUCUUCUAUAACUGGCCAAGCAAUGCUUGGGCAUGGACAGUUUAUGCUAUAAACUACAGAACUAGUUUUUCCUCCUGAUUUCAUUCUGAGGAAUCUUCUGAGAAGAUUCUGUGUACAAACAAAACACGCAAAGGCAAAUACUGAAAAACAGGAAGGAAAAGAACUUGUGACACACUGAUCUGCAGCCACCCACAACAAAUAUUUGAUGUCUUCAGCUGAAUAAUUUUGCAGUGUGAGAAGGUCCCGGGCUUUCAACUGGGUGGGAGUUUUAGUAGGUUGUGGCCCAUGCCUGUAUCUCCAAGGGUAAUGACAAAAGAAGUUCAACUACCUCAUAAUUCAGAAUUUUGUAUUCUGAAAUAACCACUGUCAAGUUGUGGUCCCAGAUUAUUGGCUCAAAGGCACAAUGCUCUACAAAUGCAUGGCACCAGGAUACAAGUGAACAGUUGAGUAAAUAAUCAAGAAAAAUAAAAGAAUUUGUUGUUCUUCAGUAUUAUAUAUGCAUAUUGCUACUAUGGAAACAUGUGAAGAAUUACACUUGGGGAAACCAUUGCUGAUGUGUGCAUGGGGUAGGGGGAGAAUCUGCCUCUGUUUGCACUAUGUGGCACUGUCACUACCUUUACCAUGAGUGGCUGGGGAAACUCAGCCAGAUGGGUGGGGAAUAAAUAAUAAAUUAUUAUUAUUACUAUUACUA